Molecule: long non-coding RNA, 2814 nt
Organism: Bacillus rossius redtenbacheri
Lineage: Eukaryota; Metazoa; Arthropoda; Insecta; Phasmatodea; Bacillidae
Exons: 4
Source: RefSeq, a predicted model, not a curated record
AUAUUUUGUUUACGGUCAGUUUCCGGUCGGCCGGUAUUCCUUUAAAAAUUAUAACAUCGGGUCACAGUGAUCGGGUGUCGGGUGGUCUAGUGGUGGCCAUUGCCGCUACGGAAUGAGUUUAUCUGGCUGUUCCCGAUAAACGUUAAUAGUGAUAAAUAAUUUCAGUGCGGGCACGUGAUCUACGUCUUAAAACGUUGUUAAGACAUCGUGGCCACGUAUUUCUGAAGAUUCGGUGACUGAGAAUUAGUCCAAGAGGCAGGAUAUUAGUAUCUCCAGUACGGGGCGUGCUGAGCGGCACAGUGACGAGGAAAACGGCAGUGUGGCCCCCUGACCGUGCGCCUCUGCCCGGGCGCAGAUCUGCCCCCAGCGUGUGCAGGGUGUCCGUGAAGGAAUGUCCCAGCUGCAAACUUCAAUCCUCAACCUUGUCGACAGGGGUGAUGUGCUCCUACAACAUCCACGGGGACUCCUCGGCCGGCUGGAAGCAGUAAGCGGCCUGGAGGCUCAACGCCUCAUUGUGAGUGACUCAUCCUCACUUUCACGUUAUCGACGAGCAACAAAGCUUUGACUUCAUCGGGAGAAACCUUCUAAACAUCCUCCUGGAAUCGACUCACUUCAGACGAGAGUUUGUCGCCGGAGAAAGCGGAGGACGCUCCUGGGAAAUAAAAACAAGUUGACGUGAAUCCCUCCACUGGAACACUGGUUGUGUGCGUCGACGUUCGCAGUCUCCCAGAAACGAGAACUUUCUGCAGUUGGUUGCGACUGCCACAGAGUGUAUGCAGCAGUCACUCUUCAUUCCAGGAAGGUUUUUUUUUUUUAAUUUUCUUCUUGAUUCUUGGAAAUGUUUCCUAAACAAAUUAAUUUUCUCUUCUGCCUUAGAUCUAGUUUUUUUUAGUUGUAAUUUCAGUAUGAUAUUUUUUAAAAUUUAUUGUGGUGAAGCAAUGCAGUUGAAAAUGGAUCUGUUAAAAUUAUUUUUGCGAGAUGUUAUUUAUGGGAUCUAUAUGUCAACCAUGUGUAAAAUUCGUCACAUUUUGUGACUUCUAAACAACAGAGUUAGUAACUUUUAAGACACAUGCUGCAUAGUUAUGAAAACUUGGAUAAACAGUAUAUACACAAAUUCAGAGAAUUAUAUAUAUAUGUGUGUGAAGUAUAUUUUUGUAUGAUGUACAGGGAAACAUUGCUAAUCGUACUAUGACACAUUGUUAAACAUAAUGAUUGAUACAGCCAAUUGUGUUUUCCAUGAAAGUGCCUGACAAUGUAUUCAAAAUUGCAGUCUUUAGUGAAGCAAAAAAAAAAAACUAUUAUGUUGGCACAAUUUUAAAAGGAUAUUAUUAAAUUAUUAAUAUUAAACAUGAAAUUGUGUUUUGUUAUGUCAAAAUGCUUGAAGUUUUGUUUAAUAGCAGAGUUGUGAAGUUUAGUGAUAAGCUGGUAUAUGAGUUAUUUGCUAAGCCCUUGCACUGCCUGUGGUGGAUCCCCCACCAUUUGCUAACAUUACUUUUGUAUAGUGUUUGGUGCGCCAACUUUUUAUCAUUAAAUUUGCAUUGAAAAAAUAUCACAAAAUGGUAGAUGAUACCAUACUAGUCUUCUAAUGACUAAUGAAUGGGUCAGUAACUGAACUGGUUUAUUUGAUUGACAUGUAUAUUUAAAUGUUGUCAAUGGAAACUUUUGUGUUCUUUUUGCAAGAUUGAAUUUGAAUAUCGUUUAAAUUUCAAUAAGCAGUUUGGUUAGAAUUUCUGACAGCUUAGUAACACAUGUUUACAAUAUCAAAUAUUUUUCUAAUCAAAAUGUACAGUGUAACUAUGUCUCCAACAAGUCAAAGAAAUUAUUUUUUGCAAAAAAGCUGUUAAAUUUAAAAAAAAAUUAUUACAUAUAAAAAGUGUGUUUGUAUGUAUUAUGCUUGCAGAAAACACAUCCACAUUUCAGAAUAUCUUCUCAACUUAAUACUUGCUACAAUUUGGUCAUUUAGAUUUUGUGUGUUAGUUCGCAUUUGCUUUAUUAAUAGGCAACAGAUAAUGUGAAAAAUUAUUAGAUUCGUCUAGUUGAAUAUUUAACUAUUAAAUUUAAUACAUUUUGUAAAAUUGCAGACACCUGAAUGAAGUGUACCAAAACUGUUUGUUCUGUUUGGUAUUGCAUUACCUGAAAAUUUUUUUUAUGUAAUUAUAUUUUAAACAUAUGUUGUUGGCAUGCAUGUAAUGAUGCUAAGCAGGAAUGUUUGGAAAAUGUUUUUCAUCCAUAGCAGUAUUUGCUAUAGUACAUUGUGGUUGUGCUUAAAACACAGGAAGGAAAACCAUAAAAAUAAAUGACCAUACAACUGAAGCCAUUACUGCUAAUAAUAAUAAUGACCAUUGCCAUUUUAAAACAUAAACAGGAAAAGCAGAUGUAUGUGAUUCUUGCAGGAGAUAAAUACAGGUGGCCAUCUUUAACUUGCCGUUUUGGCCCUAUGCGCAGUUUGGCUCUCCGAUGAUUCUAGAUAGGAGACCCAGACUCAAAAAGUAUAAAAAUGUAAAAUUUAAAACUUGUCAAGUCCAUUAUGUAACUAGUAAAUGAUAAUAAUCAUACUUUCAAAAAUAAUGGGCAAGCUGCAGAUGGCAACUUGUCUCGACCAAAUAUAAUAGAAAUAAUUUGAAACAUUUAUUCUCUAGCAAGCAAAAUAACACAAACUGUAUUGUAUGUAAAAUUUAAUUAAAUGUUAUUUUAUGUAAUGACAAAUAUUUCUUUAUUAGUUGGAACCAGUGGUACUGUAUUUAUUGUGAAUUUCUAUAUAUACUAGAAGCAAAAAUAAAAUUUGUUUGGACAGAAAAUUCAUUUUGUCUUAUU